UACGGAGGGUGCAAGCUUUGUCCGGAAUCACUGGGUGUAAAGGGUGUGUAGGCGGGACAGUAAGUCAGUGGUGAAAGCCUGCGGCUUAACCGUAGAAUUGCCUCUGAUACUGCUGUUCUUGAGUACUGGAGAGGUCGCUGGAAUUCGUGGUGUAGCGGUGAAAUGCGUAGAUAUCACGAGGAACACCAGAGGUGUAGACGGGCGACUGGACAGUAACUGACGCUGAGGCACGAAAGCGUGGGGAGCAAACAGG
This 253-nucleotide ribosomal RNA is filed under the name uncultured bacterium. Its description in RNAcentral is "partial 16S ribosomal RNA". It matches the Rfam family "Bacterial small subunit ribosomal RNA", at positions 524 to 776 of the family's 1533-position model. The record is from RNAcentral.